AACGAACGCUGGCGGCAUGCCUAACACAUGCAAGUCGAACGAGACCUUCGGGUCUAGUGGCGCACGGGUGCGUAACGCGUGGGAACCUGCCCUUAGGUUCGGAAUAACUCCCCGAAAGGGGUGCUAAUACCGGAUGAUGUCUUCGGACCAAAGAUUUAUCGCCUUUGGAUGGGCCCGCGUUGGAUUAGCUAGUUGGUAGGGUAAAAGCCUACCAAGGCGACGAUCCAUAGCUGGUCUGAGAGGAUGAUCAGCCACACUGAGACUGAGACACGGCCCAGACUCCUACGGGAGGCAGCAGUGGGGAAUAUUGGACAAUGGGCGAAAGCCUGAUCCAGCAAUGCCGCGUGAGUGAUGAAGGCCUUAGGGUUGUAAAGCUCUUUUACCCGGGAUGAUAAUGACAGUACCGGGAGAAUAAGCUCCGGCUAACUCCGUG
This 433-nucleotide ribosomal RNA is filed under the name uncultured bacterium. RNAcentral's name for it is "partial 16S ribosomal RNA". It matches the Rfam family "Bacterial small subunit ribosomal RNA", at positions 29 to 507 of the family's 1533-position model. The record is from RNAcentral.